RNAcentral lists this ribosomal RNA (253 nucleotides) under uncultured bacterium. Its description in RNAcentral is "partial 16S ribosomal RNA". It matches the Rfam family "Bacterial small subunit ribosomal RNA", at positions 524 to 776 of the family's 1533-position model. The record is from RNAcentral.
UACGAAGGGUGCAAGCGUUACUCGGAAUUACUGGGCGUAAAGCGUGCGUAGGUGGAUUGUUAAGUCCGAUGUGAAAGCCCUGGGCUCAACCUGGGAAUGGCAUUGGAUACUGGCAGGCUAGAGUGCGGUAGAGGGCAGUGGAAUUCCCGGUGUAGCAGUGAAAUGCGUAGAGAUCGGGAGGAACAUCUGUGGCGAAGGCGACUGCCUGGACCAGCACUGACACUGAGGCACGAAAGCGUGGGGAGCAAACAGG